RNAcentral lists this long non-coding RNA (397 nucleotides) under Gallus gallus (chicken). RNAcentral's name for it is "long non-coding RNA NONGGAT006861". Lineage: Eukaryota; Metazoa; Chordata; Aves; Galliformes; Phasianidae. The record is from RNAcentral.
UGGAGGAGGGAGCCUUGGAAGCUGGGAAAGAAGGCUGAGCUGACUAAGCCUGGACACAAUCAAGACUAAAAUGCCCCAGAUUCUACUUGAUGUGGCUUGGAGGAAGUUGGUGAAGACAGCUACCCACCCAGAAUAUCUGCUGUGUUAAACAAAGCGUACUGGCUUCCAGAUCUAGCUUGUGAGCUAGAAGAGCAAGUCUAGGUAAAAAGGCACAACUAAUUCACCAGGCUACUGUCUUACAGAUGUCUCCCUUGCCAGCUGAUCUGCAUUCACCGUUUAGCCGCUCUGCCAAUUAUGCUCUGUCAUUUAAGACAAAGUUACAGAAAACGCAUUCAAAGCCUGAAAAAUGAAAAAAAGGAAAAAGCAUUCCUGAUAACUGUGGCCGGAUCUACUGAUA